GUGGGGAAUAUUGGACAAUGGGCGAAAGCCUGAUCCAGCCAUGCCGCGUGUGUGAAGAAGGUCUUCGGAUUGUAAAGCACUUUAAGUUGGGAGGAAGGGCAUUAACCUAAUACGUUAGUGUUUUGACGUUACCGACAGAAUAAGCACCGGCUAACUCUGUGCCAGCAGCCGCGGUAAUACAGAGGGUGCAAGCGUUAAUCGGAAUUACUGGGCGUAAAGCGCGCGUAGGUGGUUCGUUAAGUUGGAUGUGAAAUCCCCGGGCUCAACCUAGGAACUGCAUCCAAAACUGGCGAGCUAGAGUAGGGCAGAGGGUGGUGGAAUUUCCUGUGUAGCGGUGAAAUGCGUAGAUAUAGGAAGGAACACCAGUGGCGAAGGCGACCACCUGGGCUCAUACUGACACUGAGGUGCGAAAGCGUGGGGAGCAAACAGGAUUAGAUACCCUAGUAGUCC
This 450-nucleotide ribosomal RNA is filed under the name uncultured bacterium. Its description in RNAcentral is "partial 16S ribosomal RNA". It matches the Rfam family "Bacterial small subunit ribosomal RNA", at positions 354 to 796 of the family's 1533-position model. The record is from RNAcentral.